This 73-nucleotide transfer RNA is filed under the name Dactylonectria estremocensis. RNAcentral describes it as "Ilyonectria sp. 3 AC-2011 tRNA". It matches the Rfam family "tRNA". From Rfam's summary of the family: Transfer RNA (tRNA) molecules are approximately 80 nucleotides in length. Their secondary structure includes four short double-helical elements and three loops (D, anti-codon, and T loops). Further hydrogen bonds mediate the characteristic L-shaped molecular structure. tRNAs have two regions of fundamental functional importance: the anti-codon, which is responsible for specific mRNA codon recognition, and the 3' end, to which the tRNAs corresponding amino acid is attached (by aminoacyl-tRNA synthetases). tRNAs cope with the degeneracy of the genetic code in two manners: having more than one tRNA (with a specific anti-codon) for a particular amino acid; and 'wobble' base-pairing, i.e. permitting non-standard base-pairing at the 3rd anti-codon position. The record is from Rfam by way of RNAcentral. Lineage: Eukaryota; Fungi; Ascomycota; Sordariomycetes; Hypocreales; Nectriaceae.
UCCCGCGUAGCUCAAUUGGCAGAGCGUACGGCUUUUAACCGUAAGGCUAGGAGUUCGACCCUCCUCGCGGGAG